Molecule: microRNA precursor, 62 nt
Filed under: Monodelphis domestica (gray short-tailed opossum)
Lineage: Eukaryota; Metazoa; Chordata; Mammalia; Didelphimorphia; Didelphidae
Description: microRNA mdo-mir-12339 precursor
Source: miRBase by way of RNAcentral
AAUACAAUUUAGAACAACCUUCUAAUUUUGUUUUUUUGGGAGAUUGUUCUGGAUUGUAUUGA